This 416-nucleotide ribosomal RNA is filed under the name uncultured bacterium. RNAcentral's name for it is "bacterial SSU rRNA". It matches the Rfam family "Bacterial small subunit ribosomal RNA", at positions 956 to 1393 of the family's 1533-position model. The record is from RNAcentral.
GCAACGCGAAGAACCUUACCAACCCUUGACAUGGCAGUGACCGUUCCAGAGAUGGUCCUUUCUCGUAAGAGACACUGCACACAGGUGCUGCAUGGCUGUCGUCAGCUCGUGUCGUGAGAUGUUCGGUUAAGUCCGGCAACGAGCGCAACCCACGUCUUUAGUUGCCAGCAUUCAGUUGGGCACUCUAAAGAAACUGCCGGUGAUAAGCCGGAGGAAGGUGUGGAUGACGUCAAGUCCUCAUGGCCCUUACGGGUUGGGCUACACACGUGCUACAAUGGUGGUGACAAUGGGUUAAUCCCAAAAAGCCAUCUCAGUUCGGAUUGGGGUCUGCAACUCGACCCCAUGAAGUCGGAAUCGCUAGUAAUCGCGUAACAGCAUGACGCGGUGAAUACGUUCCCGGGUCUUGUACACACCGA